This 693-nucleotide ribosomal RNA is filed under the name uncultured Bacteroidales bacterium. RNAcentral's name for it is "bacterial SSU rRNA". It matches the Rfam family "Bacterial small subunit ribosomal RNA", at positions 32 to 715 of the family's 1533-position model. The record is from RNAcentral. Lineage: Bacteria; Pseudomonadati; Bacteroidota; Bacteroidia; Bacteroidales.
AACGCUAGCUACAGGCUUAACACAUGCAAGUCGAGGGGCAGCGGGAUUGAAGCUUGCUUCAAUUGCCGGCGACCGGCGCACGGGUGAGUAACGCGUAUCCAACCUUCCGUACACUCAGGGAUAGCCUUUCGAAAGAAAGAUUAAUACCUGAUGGUAUGAUGAGAUUGCAUGAUAUCAUCAUUAAAGACUUAUCGGUGUACGAUGGGGAUGCGUUCCAUUAGGUAGUAGGCGGGGUAACGGCCCACCUAGCCAACGAUGGAUAGGGGUUCUGAGAGGAAGGUCCCCCACAUUGGAACUGAGACACGGUCCAAACUCCUACGGGAGGCAGCAGUGAGGAAUAUUGGUCAAUGGACGAGAGUCUGAACCAGCCAAGUAGCGUGAAGGAUGAAGGUCCUACGGAUUGUAAACUUCUUUUAUAAGGGAAUAAACCCUCCCACGUGUGGGAGCUUGUAUGUACCUUAUGAAUAAGCAUCGGCUAACUCCGUGCCAGCAGCCGCGGUAAUACGGAAGGUCCAGGCGUUAUCCGGAUUUAUUGGGUUUAAAGGGAGCGUAGGCCGUCUGUUCAGCGUGUUGUGAAAUGUAGAUGCUCAACAUCUGAAUUGCAGCGCGAACUGGCAGACUUGAGUGUGCGCAACGUAGCGGAAUUCGUGGUGUAGCGGUGAAAUGCUUAGAUAUCACGAAGAACUCCGAUUG